RNAcentral lists this long non-coding RNA (1352 nucleotides) under Oreochromis niloticus (Nile tilapia). Its description in RNAcentral is "lncRNA (ENSONIG00000038113.1)". The record is from RNAcentral. Lineage: Eukaryota; Metazoa; Chordata; Actinopteri; Cichliformes; Cichlidae.
AUGAUCGAGGCGCUGAACCGGGUCAUUUAUUCAGGAGACACAAAGAAGAAGUUCAUGAUCAUACUCACCGUCUGCAGAGCAGCUUCAGGCCUCCUGCUGCAGAGACACAGAGGACAGAGCAGACGUCUGCCUGCUGCACCCGCCAUCUACCAACCACAGAGCUGCCGUGACACGCACACUGCGACCGAGCUUCAGCUGUGCAAGCUUCUGUCAGAACCAGAAUCAUUACUGAUCAUUACAGUUACUUUGAUGGGAAGUUGGAACGUGUCAUACAUGGAGUCACGAGUGUUGAAACUGAACAGGAUGGAUGUUUAUCUCUGUUGGAAGACGAUCCUGGCAUCAGACGAAGGAUCUCUCACCUUGCUGCCGCUCGUCACACUGUGUGUCACGGUUCUGGGUCCGUUGGACCCAGUAUUUUGAGUUUAUUAUAUUUUGGUUUACUUUUGCAUUAUGGAUUGUUUCUUAUGUUUCUCUGGCACUUUGUGUUUCAGUUAUCUUGGUGUUUUGGAUUUUCUCAUUUUUGUGGUGAUGGUGGUGGUGAUGAUGAUUAUUGUUAUUGAGUUCCAUGUUUCUGUUUAUUGGUAUUUAGGAUUUGUGUUCUCAUGUUUUGUGUGGGUUUAGUUCCAGGUGUCAUUUUCUGUCUGUCUCUCAGUGUCAGGUCUGCGUCUUGGUGUUGUGUUCUCAUUUCCUGUUUUAUUGUGAAGGUCCGCGUCUCAUGUGAGUGUGUUCAGUUUUACCCCUGUCUCGUCUUGUUGAUUAUUCCCAGCUGUGUUCCCCACCUGUGUGUAAUCUCCUUGUGUUUCUCUGUGUGUAUUUAAGUCGCGUCUUCUGUGUUUGUAGUUGCUGGUCCGUCUGUGUAUCCACCCUGCGUCAUCUGUGUGUCUCCCUGCUGUCUACCGUCAUCCACCUCUGCUCGCCGUCUUUCAUGUUCAUGCUCAGGUUCCUCCUCCGUAGUAUAGUUGUUUCCAGUAUAGUUUAGUUUGUCUCCGUUUGCCAUGUUUUCCCUGUGUCGUGUUUUUCAAUAAACCACCUUCUCACCUUUACAAAGUGCCUGCAUUUGGAUCCUACUUCGUUAUCUCUACACGGCUCAUCUCACUCGCCGUGACAGUACGGACCAGCCAGCCAUGGAUCCAGCGGCAUUCACCUCACCCACGGAGCUUCGAGGGCUCAUAACGGACUCAGCUACAAAAUUAAUCGAUCUGUGGCUAAAGCAUGAGGGAGAAGCAUUUCUCUAUGCUGUGGAGGACAAGCUACAACAGCUUAUUUCCGGUUACCCCUGGUUAUUGGACUCACUGCACCCGCUCGUACAGGAUUUCUUCUUCACGAGCUUCACCUUCACCCUCCCGCCGCUA